CCCCUCUCAGGGUCUCAACUGGAGAGUUUCCAGUACUCUACCAGUCUUGGCUAAGGGAGGGAGAGUUAAACAGAGGCCAACCCAUUUAAUUCCUAGUUUGGACAGUGGCUAGAGAGUGAAAGGCAAUCUAUUGCAAGU
Tachyglossus aculeatus (Australian echidna) is the source of this 138-nucleotide small nucleolar RNA. The record is from RefSeq and is a predicted model, not a curated record. NCBI's taxonomy places the organism in Eukaryota, Metazoa, Chordata, Mammalia, Monotremata, Tachyglossidae.